GGUUAAGCGACUAAGCGUACACGGUGGAUGCCCUGGCAGUCAGAGGCGAUGAAGGACGUGCUAAUCUGCGAAAAGCGUCGGUAAGGUGAUAUGAACCGUUAUAACCGGCGAUGUCCGAAUGGGGAAACCCAGUGCAAUUCGUUGCACUAUCGUUAACUGAAUACAUAGGUUAACGAGGCGAACCGGGGGAACUGAAACAUCUAAGUACCCCGAGGAAAAGAAAUCAACCGAGAUUCCCCCAGUAGCGGCGAGCGAACGGGGAGCAGCCCAGAGUCUGAAUCAGCUUGUGUGUUAGUGGAACGGUCUGGAAAGUCCGACGGUACAGGGUGAUAGUCCCGUACACCAAAAUGCACAGGUUGUGAACUCGAAGAGUAGGGCGGGACACGUGGUAUCCUGUCUGAAUAUGGGGGGACCAUCCUCCAAGGCUAAAUACUCCUGACUGACCGAUAGUGAACCAGUACCGUGAGGGAAAGGCGAAAAGAACCCCGGCGAGGGGAGUGAAAAAGAACCUGAAACCGUGUACGUACAAGCAGUGGGAGCACCUUCGGGUGUGACUGCGUACCUUUUGUAUAAUGGGUCAGCGACUUAUAUUCUGUAGCAAGGUUAACCGUAUAGGGGAGCCGCAGGGAAACCGAGUCUUAACUGGGCGUUAAGUUGCAGGGUAUAGACCCGAAACCCGGUGAUCUAGCCAUGGGCAGGUUGAAGGUUGGGUAACACUAACUGGAGGACCGAACCGACUAAUGUUGAAAAAUUAGCGGAUGACUUGUGGCUGGGGGUGAAAGCCAAUCAAACCGGGAGAUAGCUGGUUCUCCCCGAAAGCUAUUUAGGUAGCGCCUCGUGAAUUCAUCUUCGGGGGUAGAGCACUGUUUCGGCUAGGGGGUCAUCCCGACUUACCAACCCGAUGCAAACUACGAAUACCGAAGAAUGUUAUCACGGGAGACACACGGCGGGUGCUAACGUCCGUCGUGAAGAGGGAAACAACCCAGACCGCCAGCUAAGGUCCCAAAGUCAUGGUUAAGUGGGAAACGAUGUGGGAAGGCACAGACAGCCAGGAUGUUGGCUUAGAAGCAGCCAUCAUUUAAAGAAAGCGUAAUAGCUCACUGGUCGAGUCGGCCUGCGCGGAAGAUGUAACGGGGCUAAACCAUGCACCGAAGCUGCGGCAGCGACACUAUGUGUUGUUGGGUAGGGGAGCGUUCUGUAAGCCUGCGAAGGUGACCUGUGAGGGUUGCUGGAGGUAUCAGAAGUGCGAAUGCUGACAUAAGUAACGAUAAAGCGGGUGAAAAGCCCGCUCGCCGGAAGACCAAGGGUUCCUGUCCAACGUUAAUCGGGGCAGGGUGAGUCGACCCCUAAGGCGAGGCCGAAAGGCGUAGUCGAUGGGAAACAGGUUAAUAUUCCUGUACUUGGUGUUACUGCGAAGGGGGGACGGAGAAGGCUAUGUUAGCCGGGCGACGGUUGUCCCGGUUUAAGCAUGUAGGCUGGUUGUCCAGGCAAAUCCGGAUAAUCAAGGCUGAGGUGUGAUGACGAGGCACUACGGUGCUGAAGUAACAAAUGCCCUGCUUCCAGGAAAAGCCUCUAAGCAUCAGGUAACAUUAAAUCGUACCCCAAACCGACACAGGUGGUCAGGUAGAGAAUACCAAGGCGCUUGAGAGAACUCGGGUGAAGGAACUAGGCAAAAUGGUGCCGUAACUUCGGGAGAAGGCACGCUGGUGUGUAGGUGAAGUCCCUGCGGAUGGAGCUGAGACCAGUCGAAGAUACCAGCUGGCUGCAACUGUUUAUUAAAAACACAGCACUGUGCAAACACGAAAGUGGACGUAUACGGUGUGACGCCUGCCCGGUGCCGGAAGGUUAAUUGAUGGGGUUAUCCGUAAGGAGAAGCUCUUGAUCGAAGCCCCGGUAAACGGCGGCCGUAACUAUAACGGUCCUAAGGUAGCGAAAUUCCUUGUCGGGUAAGUUCCGACCUGCACGAAUGGCGUAAUGAUGGCCAGGCUGUCUCCACCCGAGACUCAGUGAAAUUGAACUCGCUGUGAAGAUGCAGUGUACCCGCGGCAAGACGGAAAGACCCCGUGAACCUUUACUAUAGCUUGACACUGAACAUUGAGCCUUGAUGUGUAGGAUAGGUGGGAGGCUUUGAAGCGUGGACGCCAGUCUGCGUGGAGCCAACCUUGAAAUACCACCCUUUAAUGUUUGAUGUUCUAACGUUGGCCCCUUACCGGGGUUGCGGACAGUGUCUGGUGGGUAGUUUGACUGGGGCGGUCUCCUCCCAAAGCGUAACGGAGGAGCACGAAGGUUAGCUAAUCCUGGUCGGACAUCAGGAGGUUAGUGCAAUGGCAUAAGCUAGCUUGACUGCGAGCGUGACGGCGCGAGCAGGUGCGAAAGCAGGUCAUAGUGAUCCGGUGGUUCUGAAUGGAAGGGCCAUCGCUCAACGGAUAAAAGGUACUCCGGGGAUAACAGGCUGAUACCGCCCAAGAGUUCAUAUCGACGGCGGUGUUUGGCACCUCGAUGUCGGCUCAUCACAUCCUGGGGCUGAAGUAGGUCCCAAGGGUAUGGCUGUUCGCCAUUUAAAGUGGUACGCGAGCUGGGUUUAGAACGUCGUGAGACAGUUCGGUCCCUAUCUGCCGUGGGCGCUGGAGAAUUGAGGGGGGCUGCUCCUAGUACGAGAGGACCGGAGUGGACGCAUCACUGGUGUUCGGGUUGUCAUGCCAAUGGCACUGCCCGGUAGCUAAAUGCGGAAGAGAUAAGUGCUGAAAGCAUCUAAGCACGAAACUUGCCCCGAGAUGAGUUCUCCCUGAGACUUUAAGUCUCCUGAAGGAACGUUAAAGACGAUGACGUUGAUAGGCCGGGUGUGUAAGCGCAGCGAUGCGUUGAGCUAACCGGUACUAAUGAACCGUGAGGCUUAACCUUAC
RNAcentral lists this ribosomal RNA (2903 nucleotides) under Klebsiella pneumoniae KCTC 2242. RNAcentral's name for it is "bacterial LSU rRNA". It matches the Rfam family "Bacterial large subunit ribosomal RNA". Lineage: Bacteria; Pseudomonadati; Pseudomonadota; Gammaproteobacteria; Enterobacterales; Enterobacteriaceae. The record is from RNAcentral.